RNAcentral lists this ribosomal RNA (119 nucleotides) under Salmo salar (Atlantic salmon). The record is from RNAcentral. Lineage: Eukaryota; Metazoa; Chordata; Actinopteri; Salmoniformes; Salmonidae.
GCUCACGGCCAUAUCAGCCUGGGUACUCCCGAUCUCGUCUGAUCUCGGAAGCUAAGCAGGGUUGGGCCUGGUUAGUACUUGGAUGGGAGACCGCCUGGGAAUACCAGGUGCUGUAAGCA